CCCUUAGAUGUUCUGGGCCGCACGCGCGCUACACUGACGAAGUCAGCGAGCAUGUCCUACGCCGAUAGGUGCGGGGAAUCUUGUGAAACUUCGUCGUGCUGGGGAUUGAUUAUUGAAAUUAUUGAUCAUCAACGAGGAAUUCCUAGUAAGCGCAAGUCAGCAGCUUGCGUUGAAUACGUCCCUGCCCUUUGUACACACCGCCCGUCGCUCCUACCGAUCGAAGAGUUAGGUGAAUUGUUUUGAUCGAUAAGAUUUGACUAUGGUCAACUCUCGUUGUGAAAUUCUGUGAAUCUGACUGUUUAGAGGAAGGAAAAGUCGUAACA
This 323-nucleotide ribosomal RNA is filed under the name uncultured eukaryote. Its description in RNAcentral is "partial 18S ribosomal RNA". It matches the Rfam family "Eukaryotic small subunit ribosomal RNA", at positions 1470 to 1796 of the family's 1831-position model. The record is from RNAcentral.